Molecule: small RNA, 89 nt
Filed under: Salmonella enterica
Lineage: Bacteria; Pseudomonadati; Pseudomonadota; Gammaproteobacteria; Enterobacterales; Enterobacteriaceae
Also listed under: 8 other names
Description: partial RtT sRNA
Rfam family: RtT RNA
About the family: This family represents a bacterial cis-regulatory element known as RtT RNA. The exact function of RtT is unknown although it is thought that it may be involved in changing the cellular response in relation to amino acid starvation.
Source: RNAcentral
UGUAUCUGAAGCCUGACGAGGAUGAGAACCUCCGGGGGCAAGAGGUUCGACCCGAGCGAAGCGAGAGAACGUUGCGUCAGCAACGGCCC